RNAcentral lists this ribosomal RNA (170 nucleotides) under Chlopsidae sp. MOOP_6947. Its description in RNAcentral is "partial small subunit ribosomal RNA". Lineage: Eukaryota; Metazoa; Chordata; Actinopteri; Anguilliformes; Chlopsidae. The record is from RNAcentral.
CACCGCGGUUAUACGAGUGUGCUCAAGCUGAUGUUUCACGGCGUAAAGCGUGAUUAAAAAACAAAUAAGAUAAGGCUAAACGCCCCCCAAGCUGUUAUACGCUAACAGGAUAAGGAAAACCCAAAACGAAAGUAGCCUUAGUUACCAUUGAACUCACGACAGUUGAGAAA